GACGAACGCUGGCGGCGUGCUUAACACAUGCAAGUCGAACGGUGAAGCGCCUUCCUUUUUGGUGGGUGUGGAUGAGUGGCGAACGGGUGAGUAACACGUGAGUAACCUGCCCCCUUCUUCUGGAUAACCGCAUGAAAGUGUGGCUAAUACGGGAUAUUCUGGGUCUGUCGCAUGAUGGGUCUGGGAAAGAUAUUGUUUCGGUGGGGGAUGGGCUCGCGGCCUAUCAGCUUGUUGGUGGGGUGAUGGCCUACCAAGGCGGUGACGGGUAGCCGGCCUGAGAGGGUGGACGGACACACUGGGACUGAGACACGGCCCAGACUCCUGCGGGAGCCAGCAGUGGGUAAUAUUGCACAAUGGGCGCAAGCCUGAUGCAGCGUCGCCGCGUGAGGGAUGGAGGCCUUCGGGUUGUGAACCUCUUUCGCCAGUGAAGCAGGCCUGCCUCGUUUGUGGGUGGGUUGACGGUAGCUGGAUAAGAAGCGCCGGCUAACUACGUG
This 494-nucleotide ribosomal RNA is filed under the name uncultured bacterium. Its description in RNAcentral is "partial 16S ribosomal RNA". It matches the Rfam family "Bacterial small subunit ribosomal RNA", at positions 28 to 507 of the family's 1533-position model. The record is from RNAcentral.